Molecule: ribosomal RNA, 466 nt
Filed under: uncultured bacterium
Lineage: Bacteria
Description: partial 16S ribosomal RNA
Rfam family: Bacterial small subunit ribosomal RNA
Source: RNAcentral
GAUGAACGCUGGCGGCGUGCUUAACACAUGCAAGUCGAACGAUGAAGCCCAGCUUGCUGGGUGUAUUAGUGGCGAACGGGUGAGUAACACGUGAGUAACCUGCCCUUAACUCUGGGAUAAGCCUUGGAAACUGGGUCUCAUACCGGAUAUGAGCGUCCCCCGCAUGGUGGGUGUUGGAAAGAUUUAUCGGUUUUGGAUGGACUCGCGGCCUAUCAGCUUGUUGGUGAGGUAAUGGCUCACCAAGGCGACGACGGGUAGCCGGCCUGAGAGGGUGACCGGCCACACUGGGACUGAGACACGGCCCAGACUCCUACGGGAAGCAGCAGUGGGGAAUAUUGCACAAUGGGCGCAAGCCUGAUGCAGCGACGCCGCGUGAGGGAUGACGGCCUUCGGGUUGUAAACCUCUUUCAGUAGGGAAGAAGCGAAAGUGACGGUACCUGCAGAAGAAGCACCGGCUAACUACGUG